GCAUGGUUGUCGUCAGCUCGUGCCGUCGAGGUGUCGGGUUAAGGUCCCACUAACGAGCGCAACCCCUACCCUUUACGUUGCCAUCAGGUAAUGCUGGGGACGUCUAAAGGAACUGCCUACGCAAGUAGUGAGGAAGGCGGGGAGUGACGUCAAAUCAGCACGGCCCUUACGUCCAGGGCUACACACGUGCUACAAUGGCCGAUACAGAGGGCAGCUACCUGGUGACAGGAUGCAAAUCUCCAAAGUCGGUCUCAGUUCGGAUCGGAGUCUGCAACCCGACUCCGUGAAGUUGGAUUCGCUAGUAAUCGCGCAUCAGCCAUGGCGCGGUGAAUACGUUCCCGGGCCUU
This 347-nucleotide ribosomal RNA is filed under the name uncultured Sphingobacteriales bacterium. RNAcentral's name for it is "bacterial SSU rRNA". It matches the Rfam family "Bacterial small subunit ribosomal RNA", at positions 1043 to 1382 of the family's 1533-position model. The record is from RNAcentral. Lineage: Bacteria; Pseudomonadati; Bacteroidota; Sphingobacteriia; Sphingobacteriales.